UUUGCUUAACCUCGGGUUGUGAGGACGAUUAAUAUUAGGUUAGGCAAUUGUUUUUUCCUAGUCUCUAGGUGCUUUAAUCCUCUCGGGAGAAGAGGGUUAUGUUAUGAUCUCCACUGUAAUAUCUUUAGCUUUUUGCUUAUUUAUAUACAAACAAAAUUUAGCAAAAAAAAAAUAUAUAUAUAUAUAUAUAUAGAGAGAGAGAGGGGGAGAUCCAGUCAGGAUCAUACUCUUUCCACGAAUUAUUACGCAGUGAAGAAGAUGGUCAAGGGGUUAAAUAUGGGGUAUUAGAAAAUUGAUGAUGUUGGAAGAAUGCAUAUCUUGAUUUGAUGUUUAAAGUAAAUGCUCAUGAUUAUAUGUAAAGUCCUUAAAGGAAUAUGUGUACAAGGACUUAGUAAUAGAUCAAAUUUGUUAGGUUGAUCUUAGCUUUUGGUGUUCAUCUUUCUAUAAACGAAUGUAUAGAUAAAGAGAUCAAAGAUAUUAGGUUGAUCUAUGACUUGAAAAGUAUAGAUAGGCUUCAACAAGAAUCGUAGUCUAUCAAGCUCAUCAACAGAUUGCAGAAGCCAAGGCAGGAUCGUAGAGUUUAGAAGAUCGUAGUGUAUCUGCCUUGAAGGACCUCUUCUGAAAUCGUAGAGUGGUCCAGACAUUUGCUGAAGCUAACUCAGAGAUCGUAGUGUGCAAAGAUCGUAGUGUGAAAACCCUUAAAAGAAAUCGUAGUGUUCUAUUCAGACCAAGCACAAAUAUGUCAAGACACCGCGAUAUGAAUCGUAGAGUAUCAUCUGUCUUGUGUCAGAAGCAUCGAGCCCUAUCUUUUGUUUGGAGAUAAAUUCCAACAAAUGUGGAAUGGGUUAUGAACGUUGAAGCACUCACCAGUCCCAAUGGUACAAAAUAUAUCCUUAGUAUUCAUCAAAAGGAAUGUAUUCAAGAAGCUAAGAAAAGGACCAUUGGACAGAGAAAAACACCUUUUCAGGUGUUAGGUGAGAAAACAGUCUGCUGUGUCAGUGGGCCAGACUACAAUUCAGAAGAUGUGCAGAAAAGUCUCCAUCAAAGCUCAGAAAUGUCAAACACAUUUAAUGCCUCAUCAAAUGACUUCAACGAAUAGAUUUUAAAGAUCACAUAUAUACAGAACACAGAAAGAUGAGAGUGUAAGCAAGCAUUGAACAAAACGCACAAGAACACUCAACGCUCAACUCUACGAUCAGAGAAAAGGAGGAAGCUUGCUCAGCUACUCAGUUCUUUCGAACAAGUGCUUAAUUCCAACUGAGUAGCCUCAAUCACGAUCUCAACAAUAACUAAUCAACUAAAGUAAGAGUUCCAAGUCUGAAGGACUUGAAGAGUUCUAAGUGAACUGUGAAGAACCAAGUCUGCUGGACUUGAAGAGUUCAAGAGUGAACUAAGAAGUGCCUAGACUGCUGGUCUAGAAGGAAUCUGUGAGAUUUAGAAAGUGUAAAAGACAUCCUUAGUGGAUUUCCUACUCGAGGAGUAGAAGAGUGGACUAGGAGCCUUCAGUGCUCUGAACCACUUAAAAACAACUGUGUCUAUUUUAUUCUUGCCAUAACUGCUAUAACUGUCAUAACUGCCUCACUUUCAUUAACUCACUAUCUAAAGGGGAUUUCAAAGAAACCAUAAUUCCGAUGUGCUUAAGAUCUUUAUCAAAACGGACUUAAUACAAAGAAAAGUUUUUAAUAUCUAUUCAACCGCCCCUUCUAGAUAAUUAUUGUGCCUCCGGGAACUAACAAUUGGUAUCAGAGCAGGUUCUAUUAUAUAGCCUACAAAGCUUGAGUAGAUCCAAUGGCACACUUACCAAGCGAAUCAAAGACUGGAGGAGGCAGCAAGCCACCUAUGUGCAACAAAGACAAAUUCGCUAAAUGGAAGGUUAGGAUGCAAGCUUAUAUGGAUUCAAUAGAUGAAGAUCUAUUUGAAACUGUUCAAAAUGGGCCCUACAUUCCUACAAAGCUUGCACCAACUACAGACGACCCAAACAGAAUACAGAUCAAGGUCAAAGAAGAAUGGAUAGAAAAUGAGAAGAGAGUUGUCCAGCUUGAUAAAAAGGCCAAGAACAUCUUAUUUCAAUCCCUAGAAGAUGAUCUAUUUGAAAACGUGGUUAACUGCAAAACAGCAAAGGAGGUUUGGGAAGCAUUACUUAUCAUGCAUGAAGGAACAGAAGAAGUCAUUGAAAACAAACAAUCUCUCUUGACUCAGCAAUAUGAGAUGUUUGCUCACGUUCAAGGAGAAAACGUCACUGCCACAUACGAGAGAUUUAAUAUUCUGCUCAACUCUCUGCGAGCCUAUGGAAAGAUCUAUCCAAACAAAGAUCUAAUCAUAAAAUUCAUGAGAGCCUUACCAAGCAAGUGGGAUGCCAAAACCACUGCCAUUAGAGAGUCAAAGAAUGUACAUGAAAUGACUGUUCAACAUCUAUAUGGCAACCUCCUUACAUACGAACUAGAACUGGAACUGACACAACGAGCAGAAAAGUUAUCCGAAAGAAGAAAGAAGGACAAAGGUGUUGCUCUCAAAGUAACUGAAAACACCUCCAAAGUCAACACUGAAGUUGAUUCUGACUACGAUAAAGAUGAUGAUGAGGACUUUGCAGUGCUGAUGAAAAGACUAAGAAGGUUCAUGCGAUAAGGCAAAACUAGCAAGCCAAAGAAAGUCAGCAACUACAGCAGCCAGGAGCAAAUGAAUGACCUAUGCAACAAUUGCAAGAAACCUGGCCACUUCAUUGCCAACUGCAACAAACCUCUUAGAGAAGAACUCAAGAAGAAAUCACAUGCAAAGAAGGAAUACAAAGACAACAAAAGGCCACAGAAGAAAGACAAAUGCCUUGUAGCUGGAGGAUCGUGGAGUGACUCAGACAAUGACUCAACUCCGGAAUCUGGAGAUGAUGAAGAUCCUUAAAUGGAAAAUCUCUGCCUAAUGGCCAAAAAUGCAAGGGACAAACAGAACUCGAACAUACAUGAAGUAAGUAUCGAUGAGGUAUUUGACUUCAACUCUCCUGAUGUAGAUAUUGAUGAUCUUAGAACUGCAUUACAUGGCAUAACAUCUGAUCUGCACCAAUACAUGAAGUGGUUUAGAGUUCUGUCUAAAGAUUAUUCAUUUCUUAAAAAGGAGAAAAAAAAAGUUCAAGAAGAACUGGAAACAACCCUUCUCAGUACUGAUUCUCUCUCCAAGUUUGAAGCUAAGAAUAAGCUCUUGAGACAAGCAAAUGAGCUCAGUGCACAAAGAGAGUCUAGUCUAACCUCCAAGAUUGAGGAUCUAGAAAAGACAGUCUCUACAUGGAACAAAUCCUCUUCAUCCAUGGGCUCCUUAAUCUCUAACCAGAGAAGUGUCUCUGAUAGAACAGGGUUGGGCUUUGGGGAAUCUACCUCAGAGUCAUGUGUGGAAAAAGCCAAGGAAAUUAGCACUGGUAAUGCCUCAGGUUUUAGUAGAGGCAUUAUAUUUGUGAAAUCCUCACAGAAGGAUGAGCCUGUCAAACCCUGCUCAGCUGAUUCAAUUCAUAUUCCCAGGAGUAAGGGAUCUCAUACCGGUCUAGGUUUCAGAAAAGAGAAGAGUAAUCUAGCUACUACUCAUCAACCUCGAAGGAUCGUAGAGUCCAAUAAAAUCAACUCUACGAACCAACUAGGAAGGUACAGUAGAAGUAAGAUAUACUCCUCACAAAUCAUGAAACAAGAGAACACAUGGAAGAGGGAAUAUCAGCCUAGCAAGAGGAUGACCAAUAACCCACAAAAGUCCAAAUGGAGGAAGAACUUUCACACACACACAAACAUGCAUCAUAUCAAAUGUUUUGUGUGCUACAGAGUUAGCCACAAGGCUGCAAAAUGUCAUUAUAAUUCCAUGCAUGUGAGACCCAAAAUCAAGCAGAUUUGGGUCCCCAAGGGUACUAACAUAAUAGGACCCAUGCAAGUAUGGGUACCAAAAUGAAGGUUUAAUGUUACCUCAGGAAAAGAGCUCCAUAAACACAACUUGGUAUCUGGACAGUGGAUGUUCAAGGCACAUGACUGGAAACAAAGCCCUUAUGUCUAAAUAUAUAGAGAAUGAGGGUCCCUCGGUUAUCUUUGGAGACAACAGCUCUGGAAAAAUAAGAGGAUAUGGGUCAAGUGGAAAUGGUGUAGUAUCCUUCAGUAGAGUGGCCUAUGUGGAAGGACUACAACACAAUCUUCUAAGCAUUAGCCAACUCUGUGACAAGGGUCAUCAAGUAACAUUCCUCAACAAUCAAUGUCAAGUCCGAGACCUGAAGACAUCUGCUGUGAAGCUAACCGGAACAAGAGAUGGAAAUGUCUACACAAUAAAUCUUGGACAACUAAGCUCAGACGAGACAAUAUGCUUUCUGGCUAAAGCAUCUGAAGAAAUGAGCUGGCUAUGGCAUCGAAGAUUAUCUCAUCUCAACUUCAAAAGCAUGUCCAAAUUAGCUUCAAAAGAUCUAGUUGCUUGCCUACCCAAGUUCAACUUCGUUAAAGAAAGGCCGUGCAAUGCCUGUCAACUUGGGAAAUAGACCAGAAGCACAUUCAAGAGAAAAACUGCCAAUUCAAUUGACAAGCCUCUGCAGUUGCCACACAUGGAUCUUUUUGGGCCAAUUCCAACGACGAGCCUUGGAGGAAAGAGAUAUUCUCUGGUCGUAGUCGAUGACUUCACCAGAUUUACAUGGGUGUUCUUUCUAACCUCAAAAGAUUAGACAAGUUCCCAGCUGAUCAAGAUGUUCAAGCUGGUGAUGAAUGAGAAAGGAGAGAAAAUCAAGGCUAUAAGGAGUGAUCAUGGUAGAGAAUCCGACUUCUCAGAAAUAGACCAGUUCUACACAGACAAUGGCAUUAGUCACAACUUCUCAGCUCCACGAACUCCUCAACAAAAUGGAGUUGCUGAGAGAAAGAAUAGGACAUUAAUAGAGGCUGGAAGGACUUUACUAGCAGCAACCCAUCUGCCUAAGUACUUCUGGGCAGAAGCUGUCAACACUACAUGAUAUACUCAGAACAGAUCACUCAUACACUCUACGAUUAAGAAGACUCCUUAUGAACUGUGGAAAGGAAGAAAACCAAGUGUCAGCUACUUUCAUGUUUUCGAUUGUGCAUGCUACAUUCUCAACAAUGGAAAAUAGUACUUGAUAAAGUUUCAACCAAAAUCAGAUGAAGGAAUCUUUCUUGGAUACACCACAGACAGUAAGGCCUACAGAGUGUUCAACAAGAAGACACUGAGUGUUGAAGUCUCGAUUCACAUCAUCUUUGAUGAAACGGACUUAGACAAAACAAUGCCUCAAAACACUAUGACCAACAGUUCAGACACUACGAACGAGGUCGUCGAGCUCAACACUACGAUCGCAGUACCAGAUAGUGAAAUCGUUGAGCAAGGAAAUGAGAUCGUAGAGAGGCUUAUGCCAGAUAACGAGCCUCCACACCAAGAAGAAGAAAUGGAUCUUGAAGAUCUAAGACAAGAAGGCAUAAAAACAGCUGUUCCAACAGGAAGUAAAUAGGCAAGAGAUCAUACUCAAGAUCUAAUCAUUGGAGAUCCGAGUGCAAGAGUCAAAACAAGAGCUGCUACCCAAAAUGAAUGCUUUUAUCUAAGCUUCCUAUCACAAAUGGAACCAAAGAAGAUAGAGGAUGCUAUAGAAGACUCCAGCUGGAUAGAGGCCAUGCAAGAAGAACUUAAUCAGUUCAAAAGAAGCAAAGUAUAGAGACUGGUCUCAAGACCAAAGAAUCAUCCUAUUAUUGGAACCAAGUGGGUCUUCAGAAACAAGAUGGAUGAAGAUGGAGUCAUCACUAGGAAUAAGGCAAGACUAGUGGCCAAGGGCUACUCUUAGGAAGAAAGCAUUGACUACGAUGAGACAUUUGCACUUGUUGCCAGACUAGAAGCCAUCAGAAUAUUCCUUGCCUUUGCUGUUCACAUGAAAUUCAAGGUCUUUCAGAUGGAUGUCAAAAGUGCAUUCCUGAAUGGUGAACUUCAAGAAGAAGUCUAUGUAGAAUAACCUCCAGGUUUCAUCAAUCCAUCUCUUUCUAAUUAUGUCUUUAGAUUAGACAAAGCCUUAUAUGGUUUUAAACAAGCACCUAGAGCAUGGUAUGAAAAACUAACUAACUUUCUUAUUGAAAAUGGGUUCACUAGAGGUAGAGUAGAUACCACACUAUUUCUUAGAAAGCAUCAAGAUAAAGUCCUACUUGUUCAAAUAUAUGUUGAUGAUAUUAUCUUUGGAUCUACUGAUGAAAAGUUAUGCAAGAGAUUCUCCAAGCUUAUGCAGAGCAAGUUUGAAAUGAGCAUGAUGGGUGAGCUGAACUUCUUCUUUGGACUACAAGUAAAGCAAACUGAUGAAGGAAUCUUCAUAAACUAAGCCAAGUAUAUUAAAGACUUACUUAAGAAGUAUGGCAUGGAAUCAGCCUCUCCCAUGAAAACCCCAAUUGCUCCUACAACCAAGCUUGAUAAAGAUGAAAAGGUAAAAGUAUUGAUAUAACUCAAUACAGAGGUAUGAUAGGCUCUCUUUUAUAUCUUACUACCAGUAGACUAGAUAUAAUGUUUGCAACAUGCAUUUGUGCAAGAUUUCAAGCUAGUCCUAAAGAAUCACAUUUAACUGCUGUAAAGAGAAUUUUCAGGUAUCUCAAGGGUACACCUCACUUGGGACAUUGGUAUCCCAAGGAGUCCUCAUUUGAACUAACAGGAUACACAGAUGCUGAUUUUGCAGGCUACAAACUAGAUAAAAAGAGUACCAGUGGCACCUGUCAAUUUCUAGGUAAUAGACCUGUGUCCUGGUUUAGCAAGAAGCAAAAUUCAGUAUCUACUUCAACUACAGAAGCUGAAUACAUUGCUGCAGGCAGCUGCUGUGCUCAGAUCCUAUGGAUGAAAAACCAGCUAGCAGAUUAUGGGUUUGAAUUCAAAUCCAUACCCAUUCACUGUGAUAACACAAGUGCUAUUGCAAUAACUCAUAAUCCUGUCAUGCAUUCUAGGACUAAGCAUAUAGAAAUAAGGUAUCACUUCAUCAGGGAUCAUGUGCAAAAUGGAACUAUAUCCUUACAAUAUAUCGCUACUGAAAAUCAACUUGUUGAUGUUUUUACAAAACCUCUAGAUGAAUCCAGAUUUAACAAACUGAUAAGUGAGCUAGGCAUGCUUAACUUGCAACUAUGAAAAACAUGCUCUAGUUUGUGCUAACCAUACAGAUUUAAAGGCUAUGUUUAAAAACAAAGACAUGAUCAAAGGAAGUCCACAAUCGUAGAGCCAAAGUAUCAUAAAAAACAACAAUCACAGUACAAACUCAAUGAUCGCAGUGCAGACUCAACCAUAGUAGAGUUCCAUCAACAAAACAAAGGAGCAUCCUGUGAUGAUGAAGCUCAAAACUAAGCAAUCUCUCUAAAGAGCACCUCAGGAACAAACCUAACCCUUGAUUCACUCUAUGAGGUUGGCCCUUCCUGAGUUACCUUGAACCGAGAAGAAUGCAAAGUCAAAAAGGUUCAUCACAAAGAAUAAGUCAGACUCGACGAUCGCAGUGAAGACUUGACAAUUGGAGAACAGACUCGACAAUAGCUUACCAGACUCAACGAAUGCAGAACAAACUCAACGAUGACGAGGACCACCUCAACGAUCGUAGUCCUUGCUAAGGACAUUAGCUCAGAAGAAGUUAAGGGGCAAAUCAGUACAAUCCUCCUAAGUCAGAAUUCGUAGAGCCAAGUAAAACUUGACACCUGUCCCACUAAGCAAAAUAGAAGAGGGAAAUUACAAGUACAAAUUGAAAUCGUCUUUUUGAAAUCUGAAGUUCAAAAGAUCAUCUCUCUCUUCCUCUCUCAAGCAGAAACCCUAAACCAGAAGAAAGCCCAGUCAGUCACACUUCCUGCAAGAAAAUCAAUGGCGGCUUCCAACGUCAUCUCUGGCUACAGACUUUGUUUUGAUGAGUUCAAAACAGCUGAGCCAAAAUUUCAUAAGACUCUGACAUUAUUAAGGAAGGUUGGACUCGAAGAAGCUCUGGGCACAGACACAUUGAUCUACCCAAAGCUGGUGAAAGAAUUCUACAAUAAUGGUGUAUUUGAAAAUAACACCAUCACUGCGAAAGUCAGAAACAUAGAAAUCAAACUUAAGGCUGAGGACAUCAAUCUAACCCUAGGUCUCAAACCGGAAGGGUAUCCGUCCAUAGAUGGCAUAGACUUCCAUAAGGGACUCAAAAAGAUGCAUCACAAGAAAUCCCCCUCUGUCAAAGGAUACAAGAAGAAGGAGUUUCCACAGAGGUAUGAAUUUAUAGCUGAUAUUGUUGGAAAAUGCAUAUGUUGCAAGAGCUCUGGUCAUGACUCUGUGAAUGAGGUGCAACUCAAGCUCAUGACUGCCAUAUGUUAUGAAAUACAACUUAACUAUGGGGUUCUAUUGCUUGAAUGGAUUGGGAAGUGGUUAAUCAGCUCAAAGAAGACAAAGAGCUCUCAAAAGAUGCUCUAUGGGCGAUUUAUAAGCAUCAUCUUACAGGCUGCUCUGGGUGACUUAAUUGAGGACGAUGAAGGAGAAGCCAUUAAUCCAAACCUUCGAAUGACCCAGCAACUAUUCGAGAACUAGAAAAGGAAUCCAGCUGAAAAUGUGCGAAUGAUGUCUGAAUCCAGUGGUAGAACUGGUGAAAUAAAGGAAUCAGGAGUGCCAUCAAAUAUGUCAGUUAUCAGAGAAACUGAAGAAGAAGAAGAAGAAGAAGCUAACAAAGAAGAGCCCAUUGCUUUGGUCAAAAAAAGCAAUGGCAAAAGAAAGCUGAAAGGCAGAACUAUAGAAGAGCCUCAGGGAUCCACUACCGAUAAGCCUAUAGAGUCCUCAGACAUUGAGACUCUAAGGAUCCUAAGAAGGAAGGAACAGUAGGCUGAGGUAGAAGAAGAUAGAGCUACCAUCUCUCAGCUACUGAAGAAGAAUAAAAUCAACCACAAAUCAAAAAGGCCAUCCAUCUCUUCGAUCGUAGAGUCUCUACCAAUCGUAGAGACCAGACCAAAUACAUCUAGCAAGGAAGUAGCUGCAUCAAACGUUCUGGCUGAUCAGAAAGACAAAACUGAAGUUCAAGAAAGUCCUAAGGCUGUGGCUCAGCCCAGAAAACCCAGAAGAAAACUGGUCAAGAAAUAUAUUCUUGUCAAUGAAGAAGUACUAAAAAGAGAAGACAAAGAAUUGACUGCUAAAAGGGAACCAACAAAUGAAAGCCAAGAAGUCAAAGCUCAAACUGAGGGGAGACACCUGAAGCCCUAAUAAUAGAGAAUACACCUACUGAGGGGGAGAUGCCUGAAGCUCCCAUCCUAGAAAGUGCUCCAGUUAAGGGGGAGCUACUGAUCUUACAAGAAAAUGAUCAAGUUGAGGGGGAGGCUCAUGACAUCUCCAUGGCAGAAGAAGAGGUUCCUGUAGGAAAUGAAGAAGAACCAGUGCAAAAACGUCAUGAAACCAUUGAUAUAAUGGAAUCCUCCAACGAAAACAGAGAAGAGGAUGAAGGUGACGAGGUCGAGAUCAUAGCUGUGGGCAUUGAUGGGUACAGAAGAGCCAACUAUGAGCAAAUGUUUUCAUAUCUACCCAUGAUGCCUUUCCAUUAAGCCCAAAUUCUAAACUCUUGGAAUCACAUGUUUUGGAGCUUCAAAGAGUAUCCGGCCAGUGCUAGCUAAUGGAUUCCCAGGAAGAUUCAACUUUGCUAAGAAGCUACUCAUAAACAACUCUUCCUCAAAGAAUGCACCUAAGUUACUGUCUAUCCCAACCCUCUUCAGAGUUAAUCACUUGCCAUCAUCCUCAUUCAGUCAAUUUUAUGAACUCCCACAAUGGUUGGAAGUAACUCUACAUCCACUAAAUCAAUUUCUAGUUGCAGAAUCCCAAAAUUCUGCAACUGAUGAACCAAAUCUGACCAAGUCUAUACUACUCCCACCUUCCAUCAUCUCUACGAUCACUGACUCUAGCCCAAUUAUAGAGUCUCAACCUCAAAUUGUAGAGCCACCGAACCUAAACAUCCAAACACAGGUCCCUCCAACAGAUAUUCCCUCCUCAUCCAGCAACGAAUACUUCAAUCUUGAUCUUGCCCUCUAUUCAUUGCAAGAUAAAUUCAAGAACACACCACCUCCUUCACAAAUUCCCCAACUGAAUGAAAUUCUUUCAGAGUUGUCCACAAAGGCUGAUUUGUCAGCUAUGUCUGUGAAAGUGAUAAAGGAACUCGAUGAGAGUCUUGAAGAUCACACUGCACUUAUUCAGAUAAGGUUAACAUCAUUGAUCAAUGCUGCAAAUAACUUCCCAAGCUCCCUAAGCUCUGAGCUCACUAAAACGCUUAAAGAGAUCAUCAAAGAAAUGCUUCAAAGCAUAAAAGACAGGGAUGACAUCCACUUCCUCGCAGCUAAAAAGCAUCGGGAUGAUGUCUUCCUCUUACACAAGACUCAAGAAUCUCAGAACGAUCUAAUGAUAAAAAGCAUCAUAAGUCUCCAAACCGCAGUAAAGGAAUUUCAAGACUUCUCUAUAGGUCAAAUGUAGCAGACUGAAACUGUCCUGAACAUCCUUCAACUGCGUGAAACUCGAUCUAAUGCUUUAAUCCAAGAAAAUCACAAGGACAAUGCUCAAACUCAAGGUCAACUCAACGAGCUUGUCCAAGGAGUAACUCGUCUCUCCGAAGACAUUCGAACCCUUGAUGCUGACAUAAAGGGGGAGAAUAAAGGGAAAGGAGAUCAAGGAGGCAAAGGAAAAGGCAGAGGUCAAUUCCAACCUCAAUCCUCAAGGAAUCCUCCUGCAAGGCAAGUCCACCAGCAGACUCCAAGAUCAGAUGUUAUGCUAUGUAAUGCAGUUCUAAGAUCAUCAAUAUCUACAUUAGGAGAGUUGAAGUCAAAUACCUCAUCGAUACUUACUUCAUGUAUGUUGGAGUUCUGUUUGUCCCUUGCAUUUUUGGCCAUCAGGCAAAGAUUUGCCAUUUGAGGAUCUUCAUCAUCUCCAGAUUCCGGAGUUGAGUCAUUAUCUGAGUCACUCCACGAUCCUCCAACUACAAGGCAUUUAUCUUUCUUCAGUGGCCUUUUGUUUCCUUUGUAUUCCUUCUUUGCAUGUGAUUUCUUCUUGAGUUCUUCUCUAAGAGGUUUGUUGCAGUUGGCAAUGAAGUGGCCAGGUUUCUUGAAAUUGUAGCAUAGGUCAUUCAUUUGCUCCUAGCUGCUGUAGUUGCUGACUUUCUUUGGCUUGCUGGUUUUGCCUUAUCGCAUGAACCUUCUUAGUCUUUUCACUAGCAUUGCAAAGUCCUCAUCAUCAUCUUCAUCGUAGUCAGAAUCAACUUUAGUGUUGACUUUGGAGGUGUUUUCAGUUACUUUGAGAGCAACACAUUUGUCCUUCUUUCUUCCUUCGGACAACUUUUCUGCUCGUUGUGUCAGUUCCAGUUCGUAUGUAAGGAGGUUGCCAUAUAACUGUUGAACAGUCAUUUCAUGUAGAUUCUUUGACUCUCUAAUGGCAGUGGUUUUGGCAUCCCACUUGCUUGAUAAGGCUCUCAUAAAUUUUAUGAUUAGAUCUUUGUUUGGAUAGAUCUUUCCAUAGGCUCGCAGGAAGUUGAGCAGAAUAUUAAAUCUCUCGUAUGUGGCAGUGACGUUCUCUCCUUGAACGUGAGCAAACAUCUCAUAUUGCUGAGUCAAGAGAGAUUGUUUGUUUUCUCUGACUUCUUCUGUUCCUUCAUGCAUGAUAAGUAAUGCUUCCCAAACCUUCUUUGCUGUUUUGCAGUUAACCACGUUUUCAAACAGAUCAUCUUCUAGGGAUUGAAAUAAGAUGUUCUUGGCCUUUUUAUCAAGCUGGACAACUCUCUUCUCGUUUUCUGUCCAUUCUUCUUUGACCUUGAUCUGUAUUCUGUUUGGGUCGUCUGUAGUUGGUGCAAGCUUUGUAGGAAUGUAGGGCCCAUUUUGAAUAGUUUCAAAUAGAUCUUCAUCUAUUGAAUUCAUAUAAGCUUGCAUCCUAACCUUCCAGUUAGCGAAUUUGUCUUUAUUGCACAUAGGUGGCUUGCUGCCUCCUCCAGUCUUUGAUUCGCUUGGUAAGUGUGCCAUUGGAUCUACUCAAGCUUUGUAGGCUAUAUAAUAGAACUUGCUCUGAUACCAAUUGUUAGUUCCCAGAGGCACAAUAGUUAUCUAGAAGGGGGGUUGAAUAGAUAUUAAAAACUUUUCUUUGUAUUAAGUCCAUUUUGAUAAAGAUCUUAAGCACAUCGGAAUUAUGGUUUCUUUGAAAUCCCCUUUAGAUAGUGAGUUAAUGAAAGUGAGGCAGUUAUGACAGUUAUAGCAGUUAUGGUAAGAAUAAAAUAGACACAGUUGUUUUUAAGUGGUUCAGAGCACUUAAGCCUCCUAGUCCACUCUUCUACUCCUCGAGUAGGAAAUCCACUAAGGAUGUCUUUUACACUUUCUAAAUCUCACAGAUUCCUUCUAGACCAGCAGUCUAGGCACUUCUUAGUUCACUCUUGAACUCUUCAAGUCAAGCAGACUUGGUUCUUCACAGUUCACUUAGAACUCUUUAAGUCCUUCAGACUUGGAACUCUUACUUCAGUUGAUUAGUUAUUGUUGAGAUCGUGAUUGAGGCUACUCAGUUGCAGUUAAGCACUUGUUCAAAAGAACUGAGUAGCUGAGCAAGCUUCCUCUUUUUCUCUGAUCGUAGAGUUGAGCGUUGAGUGUUCUUGUGCAUUUUGUUCAAUGCUUGCUUACACUCUCAUCUUUCUAUGUUCUGUAUAUAUGUGAUCUUUGAAAUCUAUUCGUUGAAGUCAUUUGAUGAGGCAUUAAAUGUGUUUGACAUUUCUGAGCUUUGAUGGAGACUUUUCUGCACAUCUUCUGAAUUGUAGUCUGGCCCACUGACACAGCAGACUGCUUUCUCACCUAACACCUGAAAAGGUGUUUUUCUCUGUACAAUGGUCCUUUUCUUAGCUUCUUGAAUACGUUCCUUUUGAUGAAUACUAAGGAUAUAUUUUGUACCGUUGGGACUGGUGAGUGCUUCAACGUUCAAAACCCAUUCCACAUUUGUUGAAAUUUGUCUCCAAACAAAAGAUAGGGCUCAAUGCUUCUGACACAAGACAGAUGAUACUCUACGAUUCAUAUCGUGGUGUCUUGACAUAUUUGUGCUUGGUCUGAAUAGAACACUAUGAUUUCUUUCAAGGGUUUUCACACUACGAUCUUUGCACACUACGAUCUUUACUUGCUCAUCUUGCAGACUCUACGUUACCGAGAGCACACUACGAUCUCUGAGUUAGCUUCGACAAAUGUCUGGACCACUCUACGAUUUCAGAAGAGGUCCUUCAAGGCAGAUACACUACGAUCUUUUAAACUCUACGAUCCUGCCUUGGCUUCUGCAAUCUGUUGAUCAGCUUGAUAGACUACGAUUCUUGUUGAAGCCUAUCUAUACUUUUCAAGUCAUAGAUCAACCUAACAUCUUUGAUCUCUUUAUCUAUACAUUCGUUUAUAGAAAGAUGAACACCAAAAGCUAAGAUCAACCUAACAAAUAUUAUCUAUCACUGAGUCCUUGUACACAUAUUCCUUUAAGGACUUUACAUAUAAUCAUGAGCAUUUAUUUUAAACAUCAAAUCAAGAUAUGCAUUCUUCCAACAUCAUCAAUUUUUUAAUACCCCAUAUUUAACCCCUUGACCAUCUUCUUCACUUCGUAAUAAUUCGUGGAAAGAGUAUGAUCCUUGGGUAAGAACUGUCCAAUUAGAGCAAGCAAAUUGUUGAAACCUCUCUCACUACAGUCCUGCUCAUUCUUGAAGUGUAAGAGCUGAGUUACUGCAGAAAGUUUGGUGUGCUUUACAUAUCUCGGAUACAACGAGACCCCCAAUUCAGAUAGCAACUUGUAACAGGCAACAACUGUAUCAUUUGGCACUUGCUGAGCACUUCUUGAAGAAUGCUCAUUUUCAGCCUAGUCAAUAUUGGUAGGGUCAUAAGCAUCAACCAACAUCUCCAUGACAUCAUAGUUCUCGACGUAUGAAUCCCAUUGAAUUGGUUAUUCUAUAGUACUGUUGAUCACUUAUCUCAACUCAGUUAAUUCCCCGUGAUGAGUCCAUACAAAGUAUCCAUCCACAAAGCCACUGGAAAAUAAGUCAAAUUUAAUCUCGUCGUCUUUCUUCCAUAUCAGGUUUUUACACUUGACACACGGGCAUCACAUCUUUUUGUUCGGAUCAUCAUCGUGUUCUAUUGCUUUGUUCAAGAAAUUAGACACCCCAUCACGAUAAGUUGAGACUAAUCCCCUCCCAUCACUGGGUAUCUUAUGGUACAUCCAACUUCGGUCGGCUGACAUCUUUAACUACACAGAAGACGCAUUCAGUACAGGGAUAUAUAUUAAUACAUGAAUUAUAUUUACCUAGUAUCUCCACUUUACAGGACAGGGGUAAGGCUUCUAUCCCGUUCUUGGAUGUGUCUCGUCAUUAGUUCCAACACGUUGAGUACGUUUUAUAAGUUUUAAGAAAAUUUUGGCAGCACCUCCCCAUGGUCUCCAAGCACACGAAAUAGACUAAAAUAACUUAAUCUAAAUAUGCACUCGAAGAACAUGUAGAGAUAACAGCCAAAAAAUCCUUAAAACAACAAAAAUGUAUCGUUUCGUAUUGCACCGGCCUAAGUGAGAGACAUAACAUCCAGUAGCAGUCCCAAACAGGGGACUGUUCGACAUUCACUCAUACUGAGUGAAUGUCAAACGGGUUUUUAAGUUCGAAAGUAUAGUACAUAUAUUAUUGAGUGUAUUGAAAAUUAAAGAGAGAGUAUUAUUGAGUUUAUUAAAAAUUGUGACAAACUAGGCAAAUGCUACUUAGUUUAUUUUUCCAAUGAAAAACUAAGUAAGUGCUACUUAGUUUAUGAGAAUUGUUAUUUGGAAUAUAUGGAAACUACUAUUCGACAUUUACUCAUACUUGUUAAACGGGUUUCUAAGUUUCAUAUAUAUAGUCCGGGUUUUUUUUUGUUUUUUUAAAACAACUAAAAAAAAUUAUGGAACUAGAAUUUUUACAUAAUACAGUGUUUUGGGUGUGAUUUGGAUACAUAUAACAAAACAUGUAUGUACAGACUGUACAAACAUGUUUUGUUAUAUGUAUUCAAAUCACACCCAAACACUGUAUUAUGUAAAAAUUCCACUUCCAUAAAAUAUUAAACUUUUUUUUUAGUUGUUUUAAAAAAAAAGCAAAAAAAAAAGGUCCGUAUUUUAUAAAGUCCGGGAUCCCUGACUGGAUCCUGACUCUCUCCCUCUCUCUCUCUCUCUCUCUCUCUCUCUCUAUAUAUAUAUAUAUAUAUAUAUAUAUAUAUAUAUAUAUAUAUAGUAUAUAUAUAAGUUUAUUGAAUAUUGCGGUAAACUAAGCAAAUGCUACGUAAUUUAUUUUGCCAAUGAAAAACUAAGUAAGUGCUACUUAAUUUACUCUUUUUUUUGCUAAAUUUUGUUUGUAUAUAAAUAAGUAAAAAGCUAAAGAUAUUACAGAGGAGAUCAUAACAUAACCCUCUUCUCCCGAGAGGAUUAAAGCACCUAGAGACUAGGAAAAAACAAUUGCCUAACCUAAUAUUAAUCGCCCUCACAGCCCGAGGUUAAGCAAAAGACAACAGAAACUAAAACAUUUAGCUACAAAAGAAACCCCACGUGUGGCAUCAAAAUACAAUAAACAUUUGGUCAUUAUACCCCACGUGGGAGGCUGUAGGUUGGCAUCAGCAAUUCAAAAAACAAAUAUGAGAAAAGUAGGCCCCCAUUGCGCUGCCCAAGACCUGCAGAAACACUGCCCCAGCUUGACCCACCGAUGUAGACCGGCGGCUGUCAGAAAAUAGUCCAGAACAGCAACGAGCAAGGAUUGAUAGAAAUCAAAAUGACAGCAACCAAGUACCAUCAAAAAUGAAACAGAAGCAAAAUCUGAACAUUAACAAUAGAAAGAAUCAAAGCAUGAUAUCCAGAUCUGUAACACAUAUAGUCAUAGGCCAAUUCCAAACUCAGAUUCAAACCAAAUCAGAAAUAAAUAAGGACAAUCUGAAAGAUUGGAAACACAACCCAAGAGUUCAAACCAAAUCUGAGCAUGAAAAAAGCAAUUAUAGAAUAAAAACCCAUGAAACUCAGAUUGGAAGCACACGGAUAACAAGCUCAAAGGACAUGGCUGCAUAGAACCACCGAAAAAUAGGUCAGAACCCAGAUGUCGGUGAAACCAGAGCCAAGGACCAUAACCAGCCGAGCCCAGAUACGAAAAAGAUCCAUCGUCCAAGGCCACCAGUAGAGAUCCAUCAAGAUCCAGAACCUCCAAACCAAAAACCCCAAAGAUCCACCACUUCAGAUCAUAACUCCCCUUCCAGCACACCCUAAGAAACAACCCUCUAUUAAUCGCCCAAGAAGACCCACGAUCUAGCAACCCUCGGACUUGGUAUAGCUCAAAUCGAAAAGAGGAUGUUCAAGAUGGUCCACGGUACAGCCGCCGAGAAGGCUGCAACAGUACCUAGGCAGUUUUAAAGAGGUGAACGGAGGAAGAGGAAUGGAUGGUGGGCCAAAGAGAGAGGGAGGGAGGAAGGAGGAGGUGGGUGGGUUGGAUGGAGAUUAGAGGCAGAUAUGGAAAAUGGACAAACCACCAUAAACCAACCAACAAACUACUACCCUCUUGGCAUAGUAAACCUAAAUCAACCCAAAGCCAUCCAGAUCAGAUCUUAGAGAACGAGUGGGCCACAAGAAGGGGGUGAAUGGGAUGAAAAUGAGAGAAGACAGUAGAAUGCAGGAUGAGGUGGGAAGAGAGAGGGGGUGUCCUAGAGAGAAUGAGGAGCUUCUCUCUCUACCCUGCUUGGAACCCUGAUCAAGUGACUGGCAUUUAUUUUAUUGAAAGCUUCCUACUU
This 16709-nucleotide long non-coding RNA is filed under the name Panax ginseng (ginseng). RNAcentral's name for it is "long non-coding RNA (PGIN_LNC002908)". The record is from RNAcentral. Lineage: Eukaryota; Viridiplantae; Streptophyta; Magnoliopsida; Apiales; Araliaceae.